Molecule: ribosomal RNA, 451 nt
Filed under: uncultured bacterium
Lineage: Bacteria
Description: partial 16S ribosomal RNA
Rfam family: Bacterial small subunit ribosomal RNA
Source: RNAcentral
UCCAGACUCCUACGGGAGGCAGCAGUGGGGGAUAUUGCACAAUGGGGGGAACCCUGAUGCAGCGACGCCGCGUGAGUGAAGAAGUAUUUCGGUAUGUAAAGCUCUAUCAGCAGGGAAGAAAGAAAUGACGGUACCUGACUAAGAAGCCCCAGCUAACUACGUGCCAGCAGCCGCGGUAAUACGUAGGGGGCAAGCGUUAUCCGGAUUUACUGGGUGUAAAGGGAGCGUAGACGGCGAUGCAAGUCUGAAGUGAAAGGCGGGGGCCCAACCCCCGGACUGCUUUGGAAACUGUAUAGCUGGAGUGCAGGAGAGGUAAGUGGAAUUCCUAGUGUAGCGGUGAAAUGCGUAGAUAUUAGGAGGAACACCAGUGGCGAAGGCGGCCUGCUGGACCGCGACUGACGUUGAGGCUCGAAAGCGUGGGGAGCGAACAGGAUUAGAUACCCCAGUAGUU